This is a long non-coding RNA of Vicia villosa (hairy vetch), 1072 nucleotides long. RefSeq lists it as uncharacterized. The transcript is spliced from 3 exons. The record is from RefSeq and is a predicted model, not a curated record. NCBI's taxonomy places the organism in Eukaryota, Viridiplantae, Streptophyta, Magnoliopsida, Fabales, Fabaceae.
GAUUAGGGUUCUUGUUGUGUCGUUCCCUAUCCCUCUUCUCCUUCUACACACCAACGGCGGCGAUGGAGAAUCUCACCGUCUCCGAUCGAAACAUCUCAGCCUCUCAAUCACAAAACCUUCAUCGCCCUCCUUCCACCGUGAAGCAAAAUCAUCAUCUUCCGUCUCUCAUCUCCGAAUCGAACAAAAUCACAAUAACCGAACACCAAACGCGAGAUUGAAUGCAUCAAGAGGUUUACCUGGAAAGUAAUUGAAGAUUACGAAGUCAAAGAGGAGAUUUCGAAAGCUCAGGCGCAAAGAGUAGAGUUCUUCGAUCGAUUGGCGAAAUAAACGCGCCGAGUACUUUGUUCCGAUGAAAAGAAAAUGGAGACUUGAUGAUUCGUUGAUGAAGAUGAAGAUGAUGAUUGUUGUUGAAGGUUGCUAAUGAUUGAAGAGUUCUUGGUGAUGAUUGAAGGAGCAGGAUUGGUGAAGAUUUUUCUGUGAAUUUUUCGUGUCGAUUUAAGAUGAUGAUUGAUGAGGAGUUUGAAGGAUAAUUGAAUGUGAAGUGUGGAUGAAGAAGGUUCAGAGAAAAGAGAUGAAGAUGAAGAGGAAUGAAAGUGAGAAAUCGUGGAGAAAGCGAAGAAUGGUGGUUGAGAGUGGAAGAAUGAUGGAGAGGCUUGAAUGAAGGUGGAGAAGAGAAUAUAUAGGUGGAGAAAAUCGAUUCUGAAGGUCCUGGCUUGGUUUUGGGGAUGGAAUAUGGGGCAUGAGCUGCGGUAGAAGUCAUAUUGAAGAAGAGAUUGAGAGUAAUGAUUGUUGGUUGCUGAUAAAGAAACCGAGCCACUGGAAAAAGAAUGCAAGGGAACAGCGUCACCGAAAUUGAAUGUGCUGCUGUUGAAAAAUAUAUAUUUUUUGUAAUUUUUGUAAUGAAUGGAAUGGAUGAAUAUUGUAUGUAAUGAAGUUUAUUUUGUAUGGGAAUUAUGCAUGAGGCUUGAAGUAUGUAAGUUUAUGGUUUGAGUUAUGACUAUAUGAAGGACAAUUAUGGAUGAUUGGAACAAUGACAAGAAGUUGUUCGGGAAUUCGAAUGAUAUGUAAAACU